GGAUAUGAGGGCGAUCUAGCUACAAUAUCUGUCACCCUAUUGAUGGCCAAGGUUGAUCCGGCUGAUUUGGCUGCCUAGGCGGGUGUCCCCUUCCUCCCUCACUGCUCCACGUGCAUCCCUUCCGAAGCUGUGUGCUAGGUCAAAGAGGAUGACCAUCCCCGAUAGAGGAGGACUGGACUUUGGUCAAGGGUAUACAAGUAGCGAUGCUCCCCUGCUAGAAACUUCAAACAAGCUCUCAAGUUCCAGAAGGAAGUGAAAAAAGAAAACCAAAGUGUGG
RNAcentral lists this small nuclear RNA (277 nucleotides) under Saimiri boliviensis boliviensis (Bolivian squirrel monkey). RNAcentral's name for it is "7SK RNA (ENSSBOG00000007070.1)". It matches the Rfam family "7SK RNA". From Rfam's summary of the family: 7SK was discovered as an abundant small nuclear RNA in the mid-70s but a possible function has only recently been suggested. Two independent studies have found that 7SK RNA binds the CDK9/cyclin T complex (known as elongation factor P-TEFb). The record is from RNAcentral. Lineage: Eukaryota; Metazoa; Chordata; Mammalia; Primates; Cebidae.